RNAcentral lists this ribosomal RNA (469 nucleotides) under uncultured bacterium. Its description in RNAcentral is "partial 16S ribosomal RNA". It matches the Rfam family "Bacterial small subunit ribosomal RNA", at positions 28 to 507 of the family's 1533-position model. The record is from RNAcentral.
GACGAACGCUGGCGGCGUGCUUAACACAUGCAAGUCGAACGAUGAAGCACCAGCUUGCUGGUGUGGAUUAGUGGCGAACGGGUGAGUAACACGUGAGUAACCUGCCCCUCACUCUGGGAUAAGCCUGGGAAACUGGGUCUAAUACUGGAUACGACCGAUCUCCGCAUGGAGUGUUGGUGGGAAGUUUUUGUGGUGGGGGAUGGACUCGCGGCCUAUCAGCUUGUUGGUGGGGUAAUGGCCUACCAAGGCGACGACGGGUAGCCGGCCUGAGAGGGCGACCGGCCACACUGGGACUGAGACACGGCCCAGACUCCUACGGGAGGCAGCAGUGGGGAAUAUUGCACAAUGGGCGAAAGCCUGAUGCAGCGACGCCGCGUGAGGGAUGACGGCCUUCGGGUUGUAAACCUCUUUCACCAGGGACGAAGCUAACGUGACGGUACCUGGAGAAGAAGCACCGGCUAACUACGUG